Molecule: non-coding RNA, 130 nt
Filed under: Gordonia effusa
Lineage: Bacteria; Bacillati; Actinomycetota; Actinomycetes; Mycobacteriales; Gordoniaceae
Also listed under: 1 other name
Description: SAM-IV sequence
Rfam family: SAM (S-adenosyl methionine) riboswitch aptamer
About the family: SAM-IV is a mRNA element that regulates gene expression via direct sensing of S-adenosylmethionine (SAM or AdoMet). SAM-IV riboswitches share conserved nucleotide positions with the previously described SAM-I riboswitches sequence analysis and molecular recognition experiments suggest that SAM-I and SAM-IV riboswitches share similar ligand binding sites, but have different scaffolds.
Source: RNAcentral
GGUCAUGAGCAUCAGCGACAAGCCCCGGCUAGCUGAUCAGCAACCCUCCUCCGCGGUGGGGUGCUCCGGGUGAUGACCGGGUUGUGCGCCACGCAUCGAGACGAUGUGCGGCUUACGGCAAGCGCGGGUC